This 409-nucleotide unclassified non-coding RNA is filed under the name Hevea brasiliensis (rubber tree). The record is from RNAcentral. Lineage: Eukaryota; Viridiplantae; Streptophyta; Magnoliopsida; Malpighiales; Euphorbiaceae.
CAAUUUUCUUCUUUUGUUCUUCUGAAGGUAAUCACCAAAAUAAAAGCCUCAAGAACAAGCUGCGACUUGCGGCUAUAUGCCUCCGUUGGGUUUUCAAAAUUUUUUAUUUGCUGGUUCAAGUUUUUCUUCCAUUGCACGGAUUAAACCGGAGACAUUUAAUUUACGUAAUUGUUUUAAGCCACUUUGAUUAUUACUAUCUGGUUAUUCUACGAUUCUGUACUAAUUGAUUUGUCUUAAAUCGAAAUUUGAUGUUUUAAUUUAAAUUAGACACAACCAAAAGGAUAACAUAUAGAUUAACCCACCUCAACCAAAUUAAAUUUUUUAUAGACUUUCACAGAAUAUAAGAAGGCUUAAAUAUGCAUAACUUUGCUUGAGAAUGGAUUUAAUUAUGUCACGACCCAACCUAUGG